UGGGGGAUAUUGCACAAUGGGCGAAAGCCUGAUGCAGCGACGCCGCGUGGGGGAUGAAGGCCUUCGGGUUGUAAACUUCUUUUGCUCUGAACAAGGCAUGCUAAUGGGUGUGUUGAGUGUAGGGGUUGAUUAGCGCCGGCUAACUACGUGCCAGCAGCCGCGGUAAUACGUAGGGCGCGAGCGUUGUCCGGAAUUAUUGGGCGUAAAGGGCUUGUAGGUGGCUGGUUGCGUCUGUCGUGAAAGCUCAUGGCUUAACUGUGGGUUUGCGGUGGGUACGGGCUGGCUUGGGUGCAGUAGGGGGGGCUGGAAUUCCUGGUGUAGCGGUGGAAUGCGCAGAUAUCAGGAGGAAUACCGGUGGCGAAGGCGGGUCUCUGGGAUGUUACUGACACUGAGGAGCGAAAGCAUGGGGGGCGAACAGG
RNAcentral lists this ribosomal RNA (419 nucleotides) under bacterium. RNAcentral describes it as "partial 16S ribosomal RNA". It matches the Rfam family "Bacterial small subunit ribosomal RNA", at positions 355 to 776 of the family's 1533-position model. The record is from RNAcentral.